AUUUCUGUGUUUCUCAUAGAGCUGGACAAGUGGAUCUUAGGCUAUUCUCUAUUUUGGUCAAUUAUAGUAGUAGUUGUGUAACAGUGUCUAAUUUUCAUCCAUGUCCUAAUGUUUAUCAUGGAACUCUUUCUGCUAUGUAAUCUCCAAUUCUGUUUUACCUACAGGUUUGGCUGAUUUACACUUGAUUCCUAAAAAAAGGUGUACUUCUUUGAGUGGGGUGAAUUCGUAUAUAUUUUUUAGCUGUACAAGUAGGAUAAGACCCCACUGCUAUUUUUAUGAAAAGCAAGCCAACACUAUUUUUUUGUGAAGUGUACAUGAGGAAUGUAGGUGAAAUCAUAUUUGAUGCAUAUUCCCUUUGUUCUGACUUCUGUUUGAUACAUAGUUUAUUUUAGAAAAUAUAUAGGAUAUAUCCAAUAGGGCAAGUUUAUGGUUACAUUUCUCUUUACGAUGCUUAUAUGAAGAAUGUAGAUAAAAAUAUAUUUCACAUGCCAUUUCAGUUUCUAAAAUUUCACUCAAACUUAACAAUUUGCAUAUAUUUGCUUUUUCUUCUGUUUAUAUUCCACAAUGAUAAGGUUUUCUUAUUUCAAAAUUAGUAUUAAGAAAACUGUGUUCUUCCUAGAGCACCGGCAGCAACCACAUCAUGAAAGGGUCGAGGGAAGAUUAUCUGAUAUGUGUCACUGAAAGCGAAGGUUGAAUGUCAAGACGAUCAAGAAGAUCAGGUGGAUCUAUCCAAAAAUAUGCUUCCGUGGAACUACAUAGGUUAUUUGUCUCGCAUUGCUCCUGUGCCUUGAUUUUGCUGUAUGAGAAGUACAUUGUAUCAAACUUGAUGUGGAUUGUUCAUCUGGUCUCGCUUUUGGAAAAGUAUAUAUUUACA
This is a long non-coding RNA of Triticum aestivum (bread wheat), 874 nucleotides long. RefSeq lists it as uncharacterized. NCBI's taxonomy places the organism in Eukaryota, Viridiplantae, Streptophyta, Magnoliopsida, Poales, Poaceae. The transcript has 2 exons. The record is from RefSeq and is a predicted model, not a curated record.